GCCCCCGUAACUCAGCUUGGAUAGAGUGUCUGACUUCUAAUCAGAAAGUCGCGGGUUCGAAUCCCGUCGAGGGCACCA
This 78-nucleotide transfer RNA is filed under the name Nanobdellota archaeon. RNAcentral's name for it is "tRNA-Arg". It matches the Rfam family "tRNA". From Rfam's summary of the family: Transfer RNA (tRNA) molecules are approximately 80 nucleotides in length. Their secondary structure includes four short double-helical elements and three loops (D, anti-codon, and T loops). The record is from RNAcentral. Lineage: Archaea; Nanobdellati; Nanobdellota.